RNAcentral lists this ribosomal RNA (117 nucleotides) under Eubacterium sp. Lineage: Bacteria; Bacillati; Bacillota; Clostridia; Eubacteriales; Eubacteriaceae. The record is from RNAcentral.
UCUCGUGAUAAUGGCAAAGGGGAAACACCUGUAAACAUACCGAACACAGAAGUAAAGCCCUUUAGCGUCGAAAGUACUUGGCGGGUGACUGCCUGGGAGGAUAGAACAUCGCGGGAC